This 422-nucleotide long non-coding RNA is filed under the name Gossypium raimondii (Peruvian cotton). Its description in RNAcentral is "long non-coding RNA (GRAI_LNC007816)". The record is from RNAcentral. Lineage: Eukaryota; Viridiplantae; Streptophyta; Magnoliopsida; Malvales; Malvaceae.
UUGUUCCUUAGUCCUUGCUAAAUUUGCUAAGCGUUGAGCACUGCCGUCACCCAUAACCACUAGCAUCAAUAGCCCUUACUCCGAACACCUCGAUUUCUAUAUCAUUCAUCGUCAUGCCAUCGAACUAGGAAUCAAUUGUGGAGCUGCCGACUUGGCCUUCCACCUACUAGAUCUCCAAGACAUCAUCCUCACCCAUAUAUCCUCAAUCACACCCUUCCUCAAGCAUGACCUCAAAAAAAACAAAAAACAAAAAAAACUCGUUCUUGGUAGUAAUCUAAAGUCAUUGAUUCUUACCAUUUUUUACCUCAUGUUAUAGUUUUUUACACAACUUGAACGCGAUAGUCUUUAAUAUUGAAAAAAAGGGGGGGAAAGCUCAAUCUACUUAAGUCUUCUUCAUGGUUUCUUUUUCCUAAAAUUGUUUU